UACGAAGGGAGCUAGCGUUGUUCGGAAUUACUGGGCGUAAAGGGCGCGUAGGUGGUUCGAUAAGUGAGAUGUGAAAGCCCCGGGCUUAACCUGGGAAAUGCAUUUCAUACUGUUGGACUAAGUGUGUAAGAGGGGAAAGCGGAAUGACGAGUGGAGCAGUGAAAUGCGUUGAUAUUCGUUGGAACACCAGAGGCGAAGGCGGCUUCCUAGCUUACAACAGACACUAAGGCGCUAAAGCGUGGGGAGCAAACAGG
This 254-nucleotide ribosomal RNA is filed under the name uncultured bacterium. RNAcentral's name for it is "partial 16S ribosomal RNA". It matches the Rfam family "Bacterial small subunit ribosomal RNA", at positions 524 to 776 of the family's 1533-position model. The record is from RNAcentral.